RNAcentral lists this ribosomal RNA (252 nucleotides) under uncultured bacterium. Its description in RNAcentral is "partial 16S ribosomal RNA". It matches the Rfam family "Bacterial small subunit ribosomal RNA", at positions 524 to 776 of the family's 1533-position model. The record is from RNAcentral.
UACGGAGGAUGCGAGCGUUAUCCGGAUUUAUUGGGUUUAAAGGGUGCGUAGGCGGGCUUUUAAGUCAGCGGUAAAAAUUCGGGGCUCAACCCCGUCCGGCCGUUGAAACUGGUGGUCUUGAGUGGGCGAGAAGAAGGCGGAAUGCGUGGUGUAGCGGUGAAAUGCAUAGAUAUCACGCAGAACCCCGAUUGCGAAGGCAGCCUUCCGGCGCCCUACUGACGCUGAGGCACGAAAGUGCGGGGAUCGAACAGG